Molecule: small RNA, 346 nt
Filed under: Pongo abelii (Sumatran orangutan)
Lineage: Eukaryota; Metazoa; Chordata; Mammalia; Primates; Hominidae
Description: processed transcript
Source: RNAcentral
AGAGGCAGCAAAACCUUGGGUUUUGUUGGGAACAUCAUCUCUCACUACUUUGAUCUCUUGGCCAUAUGACAGACUAAUCUUAGUGUCUCAUUUAUUCUUCCAGCGGUCAGAUGGGGUGCUCACAUGCUGCAGGUUCCUUACAUGUGCUUGUUUCCUUCCCUAAACUGAAGGUAACUUUGAAGGCAGUCUUUUUCCACAUCCAUCAAGUGCUCUGGGGAAGAACACUUCUUAGCUAUUCCAUCAACACUCUUGCCAGUCUAAUCUCACCAUCAGUUUCCCCUGGCCUGCCCUUUGUCUGAAACUUUGAAGGUCUUAUCGAAUGUUACUUAGCCUCCAACAGUAUUCG